UACAGAGGGGGCGAGCGUUAUUCGGAAUUAUUGGGCGUAAAGGGCGCGUAGGCGGCUUUUCAAGUGACGGGUGAAAUCCCUCGGCUUAACCGAGGAACUGCCUGUCAGACUGGAAGGCUUGAGACCGGGAGAGGUGAGUGGAAUUCCCAGUGUAGCGGUGAAAUGCGUAGAUAUUGGGAGGAACACCAGUGGCGAAGGCGGCUCACUGGACCGGAACUGACGCUGAGGAGCGAAAGCGUGGGGAGCAAACAGG
This 253-nucleotide ribosomal RNA is filed under the name uncultured bacterium. RNAcentral's name for it is "partial 16S ribosomal RNA". It matches the Rfam family "Bacterial small subunit ribosomal RNA", at positions 524 to 776 of the family's 1533-position model. The record is from RNAcentral.